AGAGUUUGAUCCUGGCUCAGCCUGAACGCUGGCGGCGUGGCUAAGACAUGCAAGUCGCACGGGCGUAGCAAUACGUCAGUGGCGAACGGGUGAGUAAUGAAUCGCUAACGUACCCCGGACUCUGGGAUAGCCAGCCGAAAGGCUGGGUAAUACCAGAUGAUAUAUUCCUGUCGCCUGGCAGGAAUCUCAAAGGUCCGCCGGUCUGGGAGCGGGCGAUUUCGUAUCAGCUAGUUGGUGAGGUAACGGCUCACCAAGGCGACGACGCGUAGCCGGACUGAGAGGUUGGCCGGCCACAUUGGGACUGAGACACUGCCCAGACUCCUACGGGGGGCUGCAGUAACGAAUCUUCCGCAAUGCACGAAAGUGUGACGGAGCGACGCCGCGUGUAGGACGAAGUCCUUCGGGAUGUAAACUACUGUCAGGGGUUAGAAAGUUCUGAUCAACCCCAGAGGAAGAGGCGGCUAACUCUGUGCCAGCAGCCGCGGUAAUACAGAGGCCUCAAGCGUUAGGCGGAAUCACUGGGCUUAAAACGUGUGUAGGCGGAUCCGUAAGUACCUUGUGAAAUCCCACCGCUCAACGGUGGAACUGCUCGGUAUACUGCGGGUCUUGAGCCACUUAGGGGUCAGCGGAACAAAUGGUGGAGCGGUGAAAUGCGUAGAUAUCAUUUGGAACGCCAAUGGUGAAAACAGCUGACUGGGAGUGUGCUGACGCUGAGACACGAAAGCCAGGGGAGCAAACGGGAUUAGAUACCCCGGUAGUCCUGGCCGUAAACGAUGUCGACUAGAUCGUAGUACCUCUGACGGUAUUACGGUCGAAGCAA
This 820-nucleotide ribosomal RNA is filed under the name uncultured Planctomycetota bacterium. RNAcentral's name for it is "bacterial SSU rRNA". It matches the Rfam family "Bacterial small subunit ribosomal RNA", at positions 8 to 854 of the family's 1533-position model. The record is from RNAcentral. Lineage: Bacteria; Pseudomonadati; Planctomycetota.